RNAcentral lists this ribosomal RNA (448 nucleotides) under uncultured bacterium. RNAcentral's name for it is "bacterial SSU rRNA". It matches the Rfam family "Bacterial small subunit ribosomal RNA", at positions 355 to 825 of the family's 1533-position model. The record is from RNAcentral.
UGGGGAAUAUUGGACAAUGGGCGCAAGCCUGAUCCAGCCAUGCCGCGUGAGUGACGAAGGCCUUAGGGUUGUAAAGCUCUUUCGGCGGGGAAGAUAAUGACGGUACCCGCAGAAGAAGCCCCGGCUAACUCUGUGCCAGCAGCCGCGGUAAUACAGAGGGGGGCAAGCGUUGUUCGGAAUCACUGGGCGUAAAGCGCACGUAGGUGGAUAGUUAAGUUCGGGGUGAAAUCCCAGGGCUCAACCCUGGAACUGCCUCGGAUACUGGCUAUCUCGAGUCCGGAAGAGGUGAGUGGAAUUCCUAGUGUAGCGGUGAAAUGCGUAGAUAUCGGGAGGAACACCUGUGGCGAAGGCGGCCACCUGGUUGGAUACUGACGCUGAGACGCGAAAGCGUGGGGAGCAAACAGGAUUAGAUACCCAGGUAGUCCCUGAGCGGGCUGGCAAGGCGCAU